UACGGGGGGGGCAAGCGUUGUUCGGAAUUACUGGGCGUAAAGGGCUCGUAGGCGGCCAACUAAGUCGGAUGUGAAAUCCCCAGGCUCAACUUGGGAACUGCAUCCGAUACUGGAUGGCUUGAGUUCGGGGGAGGGAUGCAGAAUUCCAGGUGUAGCGGUGAAAUGCGUAGAUAUCUGGAGGAAUACCGGUGGCGAAGGCGGCAUCCUGGACCGACAUUGACGCUGAGGAGCGCAAGCUAGGGGAGCAAACGGG
Molecule: ribosomal RNA, 253 nt
Filed under: uncultured bacterium
Lineage: Bacteria
Description: partial 16S ribosomal RNA
Rfam family: Bacterial small subunit ribosomal RNA
Source: RNAcentral